Long non-coding RNA from Cynoglossus semilaevis (tongue sole), 1057 nucleotides. RefSeq lists it as uncharacterized. Lineage: Eukaryota; Metazoa; Chordata; Actinopteri; Pleuronectiformes; Cynoglossidae. The transcript is spliced from 3 exons. The record is from RefSeq and is a predicted model, not a curated record.
UCUAAUGUCCAACUGUGGAGACAACCGAGACAAACUACAGCAUUUGUUGACAUGACGGAAAUCGAAGACCGUUGAAUGGAAAGAGAAAAUAAAUAGUUUAUUUUCACAAACAUAGAGAAUGUCCACCGUGGCAAAUGGUUUUUAAGGAGGGAGGCAGGCCCUCACCCCUCCCCACAGUGGGACACCAAGCUACUGUCUGCUCUGUUUGUCCUUCAGGGGAGAAUUUGCAUUGAUUUGAGUUUUUUUUUUUUUUCAGAAUAGUAGUUUUGUAGGAAUAGUGUAAAUAAAGUGUAAAACAGUGGAGUUUUGGAGCUAAAGCUGUGUAUGUGUACAGUAGACAUGGGGAGGCUUUACAAUAUGGCCGUGCUACUGUUGACCUUUGGAAACCACUGGUUUAGGCUAUUGUGCCACAUAAACUUCCCUGUCCUUUCCCCGUUUAAUGCAGUUAAUUUAAAAAAUUCAAGUGUUUCCUGAUGAUAGAUUUAAGAUUUAAAGAUAUUACAAAGAUUUUGCAAAAAAGCUAAUAAAAUGUAAUUUUCCCAAAAUAAUUAAUGCACUUGGGGGCAAAAUAAUGAUGUAUCUAAUUAGAACAGAAUCUGAAAAUCAUGUAACUAAUAUCUCUAUGUCCUGUUUUAGGAAGUUCUGGAAAUCAAAAGAUUUUUUAAAAAAGGCCAGACGUAGCUGACGGGGGGGAAGUAUUACCUGAGGGUGAAAUGGAUUUGGAUGCAGCAAACAGUGAUGAAGUGAUGAAAGGUCAGCCUGAUUGGCUAAGCAGCCCUUCAUCACAUUGAGGCAGAGGGAGUGACAGGGUUUGAGGAAAGGCAUUCCUCGACACAGAGGACAGUACCACUGACGCAUCAGGCCACGCACACACUCCGAAUCUGCGGUCAACUAGAGGACAAAAAAAAAAACAACAGAUGGAUUUACAAGGCCAUUCUUUUAUUUUCUGGAAACGUCCAAAAAGUCGAACGUCACGCACUUGGACGCGCAGUUUACGAGGCACGUCUCCGAACGGCUGCAGCUGCUCGACGUGUUUGCUGACGCAUUCCAGAUAGUC